GACGAACGCUGGCGGCGUGCCUAAUACAUGCAAGUCGAGCGGAACUGGGGGAGCUUGCUCCUUCCAGUUUAGCGGCGGACGGGUGAGUGACACGUGGGCAACCUGCCCUGCAGAUCGGGAUAACUCCGGGAAACCGGUGCUAAUACCGAAUAGUUUGGCGCCUCUCCUGAGGCGCUACGGAAAGACGGUUUCGGCCGUCACUGCAGGGUGGGCCCGCGGGGCAUUAGCUAGUUGGUGGGGUAACGGCCCACCAAGGCGACGAUGCGUAGCCGACCUGAGAGGGUGACCGGCCACACUGGGACUGAGACACGGCCCAGACUCCUACGGGAGGCAGCAGUAGGGAAUCUUCCGCAAUGGACGCAAGUCUGACGGAGCAACGCCGCGUGAGUGACGAAGGUUUUCGGAUCGUAAAACUCUGUUGUGAGGGAAGAACACGUACCAACUCACUAUUGGUACCUUGACGGUACCUCACCAGAAAGCCACGGCUAACUACGUGCCAGCCGCCGCAGUAA
Molecule: ribosomal RNA, 512 nt
Filed under: uncultured bacterium
Lineage: Bacteria
Description: partial 16S ribosomal RNA
Rfam family: Bacterial small subunit ribosomal RNA
Source: RNAcentral